CCUACGGGAGGCAGCAGUGGGGAAUAUUGCACAAUGGGGGGAACCCUGAUGCAGCGACGCCGCGUGGGUGAAGGAGUAUUUCGGUAUGUACAGCCCUAUCAGCAGGGAAGAACAAUGACGGUCACUGACGAAGAACCACCGGCGAACUACGGCCCAGCAGCCGCGGUAAUACUUAUGGUGCAAGCUUUAUCCGUAUUUACUGGGUGUAAAGGGAACGCAGGCGGCGCGUUAAGCCUGGUGUGAAAGCCCGCGGCCCAACCGCGGGACUGCAUUGGGAACUGGCGCGCUGGAGUGCCGGAGGGGUAGGCGGAAUGCCUAGUGUAGCGGUGAAAUGCGUAGAGAUUAGGAGGAACACCAGUGGCGAAGGCGGCCUACUGGACGGUGACUGACGCUGAGGCUCGAAAGCGUGGGGAGCAAACAGGAUUAGAUACCCGGGUAGUC
Molecule: ribosomal RNA, 441 nt
Filed under: uncultured bacterium
Lineage: Bacteria
Description: partial 16S ribosomal RNA
Rfam family: Bacterial small subunit ribosomal RNA
Source: RNAcentral